RNAcentral lists this ribosomal RNA (1372 nucleotides) under Nocardia sp. RNAcentral's name for it is "bacterial SSU rRNA". It matches the Rfam family "Bacterial small subunit ribosomal RNA". The record is from RNAcentral. Lineage: Bacteria; Bacillati; Actinomycetota; Actinomycetes; Mycobacteriales; Nocardiaceae.
CCUUCGGGGUACACGAGCGGCGAACGGGUGAGUAACACGUGGGUGAUCUGCCUCGCACUCUGGGAUAAGCCUGGGAAACUGGGUCUAAUACCGGAUAUGACCACUAAUCGCAUGGUUUGUGGUGGAAAGAUUUAUCGGUGCGAGAUGGGCCCGCGGCCUAUCAGCUUGUUGGUGGGGUAAUGGCCUACCAAGGCGACGACGGGUAGCCGGCCUGAGAGGGCGACCGGCCACACUGGGACUGAGACACGGCCCAGACUCCUACGGGAGGCAGCAGUGGGGAAUAUUGCACAAUGGGCGGAAGCCUGAUGCAGCGACGCCGCGUGAGGGAUGACGGCCUUCGGGUUGUAAACCUCUUUCGACAGGGACGAAGCGCAAGUGACGGUACCUGUAGAAGAAGCACCGGCCAACUACGUGCCAGCAGCCGCGGUAAUACGUAGGGUGCGAGCGUUGUCCGGAAUUACUGGGCGUAAAGAGCUUGUAGGCGGUUCGUCGCGUCGAUCGUGAAAACGUGCAGCUCAACUGCACGCUUGCGGUCGAUACGGGCGGACUAGAGUACUGCAGGGGAGACUGGAAUUCCUGGUGUAGCGGUGAAAUGCGCAGAUAUCAGGAGGAACACCGGUGGCGAAGGCGGGUCUCUGGGCAGUAACUGACGCUGAGAAGCGAAAGCGUGGGUAGCGAACAGGAUUAGAUACCCUGGUAGUCCACGCCGUAAACGGUGGGCGCUAGGUGUGGGUUUCCUUCCACGGGAUCCGUGCCGUAGCUAACGCAUUAAGCGCCCCGCCUGGGGAGUACGGCCGCAAGGCUAAAACUCAAAGGAAUUGACGGGGGCCCGCACAAGCGGCGGAGCAUGUGGAUUAAUUCGAUGCAACGCGAAGAACCUUACCUGGGUUUGACAUACACCAGAAAGUCGUAGAGAUACGGCCCCCCUUGUGGUUGGUGUACAGGUGGUGCAUGGCUGUCGUCAGCUCGUGUCGUGAGAUGUUGGGUUAAGUCCCGCAACGAGCGCAACCCUUGUCCUGUGUUGCCAGCGCGUUAUGGCGGGGACUCGCAGGAGACUGCCGGGGUCAACUCGGAGGAAGGUGGGGACGACGUCAAGUCAUCAUGCCCCUUAUGUCCAGGGCUUCACACAUGCUACAAUGGCCGGUACAGAGGGCUGCGAUACCGUGAGGUGGAGCGAAUCCCUUAAAGCCGGUCUCAGUUCGGAUCGGGGUCUGCAACUCGACCCCGUGAAGUUGGAGUCGCUAGUAAUCGCAGAUCAGCAACGCUGCGGUGAAUACGUUCCCGGGCCUUGUACACACCGCCCGUCACGUCAUGAAAGUCGGUAACACCCGAAGCCGGUGGCCUAACCCUUGUGGAGGGAGCCGUCGAAGGU